AGCCUUCGUGUUCCAGUUGGCAGAGAUGAGUUUCAGAACAUUCCAGCUCUGCCUUCAGCUGUUCAACCAAGAGUGGCCAGAUCAUCAGGGCCAGACUUCUUCCAGGAAACCCCUUUUUAUCUGGGCCAAGAAAAAGUGAACAAUAAAUAGUCACAGAAUGGUAUAUGUGUGGUAGGCGCUCAGGACAACCACUGAGGAGUAAGUAAGUAGGACAUGGCCAAGUAUACAGGAAAGCACCCGUGGGAGAAGUUAUGUGAGCAGCCUGGGCAGUGACUACACAGACAACUUUGACAAAUCAUUCCUCCAGAGGAAGUAUAUAGCCAAAAUUAAUAAAGAUCACUUUCC
RNAcentral lists this long non-coding RNA (345 nucleotides) under Mustela putorius furo (domestic ferret). RNAcentral's name for it is "lncRNA (ENSMPUG00000027961.1)". The record is from RNAcentral. Lineage: Eukaryota; Metazoa; Chordata; Mammalia; Carnivora; Mustelidae.